Molecule: long non-coding RNA, 938 nt
Organism: Panthera uncia (snow leopard)
Lineage: Eukaryota; Metazoa; Chordata; Mammalia; Carnivora; Felidae
Exons: 3
Source: RefSeq, a predicted model, not a curated record
UGCAAUGCUACCUAUACCUGGGGGUGUGUUAGAGAUGCAGGUGCCUGGGCUCCACCCCCAGAGAUUCUGAAAUGGCAGGUGUAGGGGUGUGUCUCAGGGGUCUGUUGCUAACAAGAUACCCACUGUUGAUGCCAGUGCCGGUGUUCCAUGGAACAUUCUGAGAAAGGCUGCUGUGAGAGGGAAGCAUGCCCCAGGGGUACCGGGGAGGAUGUGCAGGGCCUGAGUCUGUUGGGAUUCAAGGAAGUCUUGCAGAAGGCGUAGCAGCUGAGCCGAGCCUUGAGGGAUGUAGAGGAGGUGGUCAGGCCGACAAGACUAUGUUUUAGGGUCAUCCCACAACUCUGUGUGCUUCUUGGGUGUGAGCUUCCAAGUAUCCUCUCUAGAGCUUUGAGCAUCCCAUGACCCAAGAGAGGCAGUGAUGGAGCUUUGGAGUCAGGUGACAGUCUCCUUUUAGAUACAUUCAAUCAGUCGUGGAUCCACCUUGGAGCACUAGCACCAACUCACAGAAGGGCAUCUCGAAACCACCUGUUACAUGGCUGCCUGCUUCAUUCCAGACACAAGAUGCAGAACCCAAAUUUAUCCAGGUUACCAGGUUGGAGUUAAACCUGAGACCACGUUAAUAAACCUCCAUCUGUUUUACUCGCUCUGGCCCUGCCUAGAUGGGCCUCUGAACAGUCCUCCCAGUCUUGUUGGGGAGUCCCUUGUGUGCUUAGGAGUGUCUCCUUCCCCACAUAAUGGAGUUGGCCAAGUUCUUUCUCUCCAGCUCCUCCUUUCCUGCUGACACUCGCAGUCCAUGCACCAUGGAGAAGGACCUCACUACUCUGCCUGCUGCUGGGAUGGCCCACAAGAAUGCAAUUCCCAUGUUCAAUGUGCAUUAGCCCAGACAUUGGUACCAGUCCUUGGUAUCCCGUUGAUUAAACUGCAUUUAAUCUGGUGCAGAA